This 87-nucleotide transfer RNA is filed under the name Myxococcales bacterium. RNAcentral's name for it is "tRNA-Ser". It matches the Rfam family "tRNA". Rfam says of the family: Transfer RNA (tRNA) molecules are approximately 80 nucleotides in length. Their secondary structure includes four short double-helical elements and three loops (D, anti-codon, and T loops). The record is from RNAcentral. Lineage: Bacteria; Pseudomonadati; Myxococcota; Myxococcia; Myxococcales.
GGAACGGUCGCCUAGCGGUCCAUGGCACCUGUUUGGAGAACAGGCAGUGGUGUGAUGCCAUCGCGAGUUCGAAUCUCGCCCGUUCCG